This 50-nucleotide microRNA precursor is filed under the name Schistosoma margrebowiei. RNAcentral's name for it is "mir-3492 microRNA precursor family". It matches the Rfam family "mir-3492 microRNA precursor family", at positions 1 to 50 of the family's 79-position model. Lineage: Eukaryota; Metazoa; Platyhelminthes; Trematoda; Strigeidida; Schistosomatidae. The record is from Rfam by way of RNAcentral.
AACCUUCUGUAUCCGUGCUGAGAUUUCGUCACACACCAGACCACAAGGGC